AUCUAUCACUGCCAAUCUAUCUAUCGCUGCUAAUCUAUCGCUGCUAAUCUAUCGCUGCUAAUCUAUCGCUGCCAACCUAUCUAUCGCUCCCAAUUUAUCUACCACUGCCAAUCUAUCUAUCGCUGCUAAUCUAUCGCUGCCAACCUAUCUACCGCGGCGAAUCUAUCCAUCGCUGCCAAUUUAUCUACCACUGUCAAUCUAUCUAUUGCUGCUAAUCUAUCGCUGCUAAUCUAUCGCUGCUAAUCUAUCGCUGCUAAUCUAUCGCUGCCAACCUAUCUACCGCGGCGAAUCUAUCUAUUGCUGCCAACCAACCUACCUACCACUGCCAACCUAUCUAUCGCUGCCAAUCUAUCGCUGCCAAUCUAUCACUGCCAACCUAUCUACUGCAGUGAAUCUAUCUAUCACUAUCAUUACUAGUUCAAAAUAGAACUAGAGCAUAAAUACACUAAACUUCUUUUGAUAGAUAAUGAUUUUUGGUAACACUCAUAGCAUUAUAUCAUCUAUAUAGGGUAAAUCAUGGUCCCAUUUGGUCCCAUUUUAACAAAAUGGGAUCAAAUGGGACCAGAAUCAGUAAUUUAUAAGAAGAACAUGACCUGAGACUAGAUUUAUAAUAUAAACAGUGUAAAGUGACUAAUUUAAUAAACAC
This 646-nucleotide small RNA is filed under the name Histoplasma ohiense. Its description in RNAcentral is "hypothetical lncRNA". Lineage: Eukaryota; Fungi; Ascomycota; Eurotiomycetes; Onygenales; Ajellomycetaceae. The record is from RNAcentral.